AGAUUGAACGCUGGCGGCAUGCCUUACACAUGCAAGUCGAACGGCAGCACGGGAGCAAUCCUGGUGGCGAGUGGCGAACGGGUGAGUAAUACAUCGGAACGUGCCCAAUCGUGGGGGAUAACGCAGCGAAAGCUGUGCUAAUACCGCAUAAGAUCUACGGAUGAAAGCAGGGGAUCGCAAGACCUUGCGCGAAUGGAGCGGCCGAUGGCAGAUUAGGUAGUUGGUGAGGUAAAGGCUCACCAAGCCUUCGAUCUGUAGCUGGUCUGAGAGGACGACCAGCCACACUGGGACUGAGACACGGCCCAGACUCCUACGGGAGCAGCAGUGGGAAUUUGGACAAUGGGCGAAGCCUGAUCCAGCCAUGCCGCGUGCAGGAUGAAGGCCUUCGGUUGUAAACUGCUUUUAGGUACGAACGAAACGUUCUUACUUUACUAAAGUAAAGAGGAUACAGUACGACGUAACGUAAGUAAUAAAGACAACCGGACUAACUACGUACG
RNAcentral lists this ribosomal RNA (497 nucleotides) under uncultured soil bacterium. RNAcentral describes it as "bacterial SSU rRNA". It matches the Rfam family "Bacterial small subunit ribosomal RNA", at positions 26 to 509 of the family's 1533-position model. The record is from RNAcentral.